Molecule: unclassified non-coding RNA, 300 nt
Filed under: uncultured fungus
Lineage: Eukaryota; Fungi
Description: partial contains small subunit ribosomal RNA, internal transcribed spacer 1, and 5.8S ribosomal RNA
Rfam family: Eukaryotic small subunit ribosomal RNA (bases 1-73)
Source: RNAcentral
ACAAACUUGGUCAUUUAGAGGAAGUACAAGUCGUAACAAGGUAUCCGUAGGUGAACCUGCGGAUGGAUCAUUAUUGAGUGAUUUUGUUUGUAAUGUGAAUUGUUGAUUGAUGUGGUUGGUGGUGAUUUUGCUUGGUACUUCUUUGAUGUGCUUGGUAUUUUGAUGUACUUGGUGCUUCUUCGAUUUACUUGUCACCACCAGCCUCUAUACGUACACUAUGCAUGCCUGAGUCCAUUUACUGAAUGAAAAACAACUUUUAGCAAUGGAUCUCUUGGCUCUCGCAUCGAUGAAGAACGCAGC